AGGGAAAGGCGAAAAGAACCCCGGCGAGGGGAGUGAAAAAGAACCUGAAACCGUGUACGUACAAGCAGUGGGAGCACGCUUAGGCGUGUGACUGCGUACCUUUUGUAUAAUGGGUCAGCGACUUAUAUUCUGUAGCAAGGUUAACCGAAUAGGGGAGCCGAAGGGAAACCGAGUCUUAACUGGGCGUUAAGUUGCAGGGUAUAGACCCGAAACCCGGUGAUCUAGCCAUGGGCAGGUUGAAGGUUGGGUAACACUAACUGGAGGACCGAACCGACUAAUGUUGAAAAAUUAGCGGAUGACUUGUGGCUGGGGGUGAAAGGCCAAUCAAACCGGGAGAUAGCUGGUUCUCCCCGAAAGCUAUUUAGGUAGCGCCUCGUGAAUUCAUCUCCGGGGGUAGAGCACUGUUUCGGCAAGGGGGUCAUCCCGACUUACCAACCCGAUGCAAACUGCGAAUACCGGAGAAUGUUAUCACGGGAGACACACGGCGGGUGCUAACGUCCGUCGUGAAGAGGGAAACAACCCAGACCGCCAGCUAAGGUCCCAAAGUCAUGGUUAAGUGGGAAACGAUGUGGGAAGGCCCAGACAGCCAGGAUGUUGGCUUAGAAGCAGCCAUCAUUUAAAGAAAGCGUAAUAGCUCACUGGUCGAGUCGGCCUGCGCGGAAGAUGUAACGGGGCUAAACCAUGCACCGAAGCUGCGGCAGCGACGCUUAUGCGUUGUUGGGUAGGGGAGCGUUCUGUAAGCCUGUGAAGGUGUGCUGUGAGGCAUGCUGGAGGUAUCAGAAGUGCGAAUGCUGACAUAAGUAACGAUAAAGCGGGUGAAAAGCCCGCUCGCCGGAAGACCAAGGGUUCCUGUCCAACGUUAAUCGGGGCAGGGUGAGUCGACCCCUAAGGCGAGGCCGAAAGGCGUAGUCGAUGGGAAACAGGUUAAUAUUCCUGUACUUGGUGUUACUGCGAAGGGGGGACGGAGAAGGCUAUGUUGGCCGGGCGACGGUUGUCCCGGUUUAAGCGUGUAGGCUGGUUUUCCAGGCAAAUCCGGAAAAUCAAGGCUGAGGCGUGAUGACGAGGCACUACGGUGCUGAAGCAACAAAUGCCCUGCUUCCAGGAAAAGCCUCUAAGCAUCAGGUAACAUCAAAUCGUACCCCAAACCGACACAGGUGGUCAGGUAGAGAAUACCAAGGCGCUUGAGAGAACUCGGGUGAAGGAACUAGGCAAAAUGGUGCCGUAACUUCGGGAGAAGGCACGCUGAUAUGUAGGUGAAGUCCCUCGCGGAUGGAGCUGAAAUCAGUCGAAGAUACCAGCUGGCUGCAACUGUUUAUUAAAAACACAGCACUGUGCAAACACGAAAGUGGACGUAUACGGUGUGACGCCUGCCCGGUGCCGGAAGGUUAAUUGAUGGGGUCAGCGCAAGCGAAGCUCUUGAUCGAAGCCCCGGUAAACGGCGGCCGUAACUAUAACGGUCCUAAGGUAGCGAAAUUCCUUGUCGGGUAAGUUCCGACCUGCACGAAUGGCGUAAUGAUGGCCAGGCUGUCUCCACCCGAGACUCAGUGAAAUUGAACUCGCUGUGAAGAUGCAGUGUACCCGCGGCAAGACGGAAAGACCCCGUGAACCUUUACUAUAGCUUGACACUGAACAUUGAGCCUUGAUGUGUAGGAUAGGUGGGAGGCUUAGAAGUGUGGACGCCAGUCUGCAUGGAGCCGACCUUGAAAUACCACCCUUUAAUGUUUGAUGUUCUAACGUUGACCCGUAAUCCGGGUUGCGGACAGUGUCUGGUGGGUAGUUUGACUGGGGCGGUCUCCUCCUAAAGAGUAACGGAGGAGCACGAAGGUUGGCUAAUCCUGGUCGGACAUCAGGAGGUUAGUGCAAUGGCAUAAGCCAGCUUGACUGCGAGCGUGACGGCGCGAGCAGGUGCGAAAGCAGGUCAUAGUGAUCCGGUGGUUCUGAAUGGAAGGGCCAUCGCUCAACGGAUAAAAGGUACUCCGGGGAUAACAGGCUGAUACCGCCCAAGAGUUCAUAUCGACGGCGGUGUUUGGCACCUCGAUGUCGGCUCAUCACAUCCUGGGGCUGAAGUAGGUCCCAAGGGUAUGGCUGUUCGCCAUUUAAAGUGGUACGCGAGCUGGGUUUAGAACGUCGUGAGACAGUUCGGUCCCUAUCUGCCGUGGGCGCUGGAGAACUGAGGGGGGCUGCUCCUAGUACGAGAGGACCGGAGUGGACGCAUCACUGGUGUUCGGGUUGUCAUGCCAAUGGCACUGCCCGGUAGCUAAAUGCGGAAGAGAUAAGUGCUGAAAGCAUCUAAGCACGAAACUUGCC
Molecule: ribosomal RNA, 2307 nt
Filed under: Escherichia coli
Lineage: Bacteria; Pseudomonadati; Pseudomonadota; Gammaproteobacteria; Enterobacterales; Enterobacteriaceae
Description: partial 23S ribosomal RNA
Rfam family: Bacterial large subunit ribosomal RNA
Source: RNAcentral